This 358-nucleotide long non-coding RNA is filed under the name Capsicum annuum. Its description in RNAcentral is "long non-coding RNA (CANN_LNC019090)". Lineage: Eukaryota; Viridiplantae; Streptophyta; Magnoliopsida; Solanales; Solanaceae. The record is from RNAcentral.
CCAACUAAAUUUUCAUUCAUGCAUUCUACCAUACAGAUGAUAGGCAUUUCACGAUACUUCCCAAAUAAUAAUAUCUUUAAUCGAACAGCUCAUUUCCAAAUAAAUAUUCAUCCCUAGAAAUUACCACUUUAACACUUAAAGAAAGUAAAAAAGAAAGAAGAGAAGGCUAUUGAUUGGAAUUCUACCUGGUCAAUAAAUAAUAGCGACAAUACGAAAAUACAAGAGUGAAUAAGACUGCAGAAACUAAGCACUGAAAUGGAAAAGCUAAAAUUAUGGAUGUAACUUUUGGCAUUCAAGUAUCUUUUUGUUUACAGAAUGAAAAAAGCUGAAAUUGUGGAAUAUUGUUGACCCAUAGGUC